GGGGAGUUAGUUAAAUUAUAACAUUAUCUUGUCAAGACAAAAUUACUAGUUAAACCCCUGUACUCCCCU
RNAcentral lists this transfer RNA (69 nucleotides) under Amolops hongkongensis (Hong Kong sucker frog). Its description in RNAcentral is "tRNA-Asp". It matches the Rfam family "tRNA". Rfam says of the family: Transfer RNA (tRNA) molecules are approximately 80 nucleotides in length. Their secondary structure includes four short double-helical elements and three loops (D, anti-codon, and T loops). Lineage: Eukaryota; Metazoa; Chordata; Amphibia; Anura; Ranidae. The record is from RNAcentral.